RNAcentral lists this ribosomal RNA (258 nucleotides) under uncultured Glomus. Its description in RNAcentral is "partial 18S ribosomal RNA". It matches the Rfam family "Eukaryotic small subunit ribosomal RNA", at positions 624 to 886 of the family's 1831-position model. Lineage: Eukaryota; Fungi; Glomeromycota; Glomeromycetes; Glomerales; Glomeraceae. The record is from RNAcentral.
AAGCUCGUAGUUGAAUUUCGGGGUUAGUAGGUUGGUCAUGCCCCCGGUAUGUACUGGUCUCACUGAUUCCUCCUUCCUGAUGAACCGUAAUGCCAUUAAUUUGGUGUUGCGGGGAAUUUGGACUGUUACUUUGAAAAAAUUAGAGUGUUUAAAGCAAGCUAACGCUUGAAUACAUUAGCAUGGAGUAAUGAAAUAGGACGUUCGAUCCUAUUUUGUUGGUUUCUAGGAUUGACGUAAUGAUUAAUAGGGAUAGUUGGG